UAAAUAAAUAUAUAUAUACAUAUAUACAUGCACACACACAAGGAAAUGCACUAAGCUACUGUUACCUCAGUAGACAUGAAGAUGACAAACUACAAUACUUCACAGCCUCCCCUAAUGAGAACCUUAAUGGGGAAAAAGUGUCCCAUUUGGUGAUCACAGUAAAGGGAGCUUCAUGUACAGGUGAGUGAAGCUCCAGAAAUGAGGCACUUCUGAGACUGCAGCUCUACAACAGGACUCGGCAGGCGAAGCAAGGGCUCACUUGCAGAGUGCACAUCCCCUGGACUUGGUGUGGUGCACACACUGUACAGUGAUUCAUCAUUGCCUGCUUAUCUCACUAUCAAGUCUUUAGUUUCUGCAAAACUGUGAUGACAACUGCUAAAGUUUCAACAAUUCUGCACAAAGAUUAAAAAAACUCAGAAACUAUACCUUUGCAUAGUAGGUGGCCAAGAGUGCAAUAAGCUUUUAAUUGAACAUAAAUUGGAAAUAAUGGUCUAAGACCCAAAACCCAAUAUUAUAGCAGAAAACAACCGCACUAAGAGUGCUGACAAGUUCCACACAAUAUAAAUCUGAAUUCAGAAGGA
Molecule: long non-coding RNA, 581 nt
Organism: Chinchilla lanigera (long-tailed chinchilla)
Lineage: Eukaryota; Metazoa; Chordata; Mammalia; Rodentia; Chinchillidae
Exons: 2
Source: RefSeq, a predicted model, not a curated record